GCGCAGCAGUCGAGAAUUUUUCUCAAUGGGGGAAACCCUGAAGGAGCGACGCCGCGUGGAGGAUGAAGGCUUUCGGGUUGUAAACUCCUGUCAUUUGAGAACAAGUGGGACGCAGUAACUACGCGUCCCUUGAUAGUAUCAGAAGAGGAAGAGACGGCUAACUCUGUGCCAGCAGCCGCGGUAAUACAGAGGUCUCAAGCGUUGUUCGGAUUCAUUGGGCGUAAAGGGUGCGUAGGUGGCGCGCUAAGUCAGGUGUGAAAUCUCGGGGCUUAACUCCGAAACUGCAUUUGAUACUGGCGUGCUUGAGGACUGGAGAGGAGACUGGAAUUCAUGGUGUAGCAGUGAAAUGCGUAGAGAUCAUGAGGAAGACCAGUGGCGAAGGCGGGUCUCUGGACAGUUCCUGACACUGAGGCACGAAGGCCAGGGGAGCAAACGGGAUUAGAUACCCCUGUAGU
RNAcentral lists this ribosomal RNA (455 nucleotides) under uncultured organism. RNAcentral's name for it is "bacterial SSU rRNA". It matches the Rfam family "Bacterial small subunit ribosomal RNA", at positions 346 to 794 of the family's 1533-position model. The record is from RNAcentral.